RNAcentral lists this ribosomal RNA (274 nucleotides) under uncultured bacterium. RNAcentral describes it as "partial 16S ribosomal RNA". It matches the Rfam family "Bacterial small subunit ribosomal RNA", at positions 523 to 796 of the family's 1533-position model. The record is from RNAcentral.
AUACGGAGGGUGCAAGCGUUAUUCGGAAUCACUGGGCGUAAAGGACGCGGAGGCGGGUUGGCAGGUCAGAUGUGAAAUCCUACAGCUUAACUGUAGAACUGCAUUUGAAACUGCUAACCUAGAGUAUGGGAGGGGGAGAUGGAAUUAGUGGUGUAGGGGUAAAAUCCGUAGAUAUCACUAGGAAUACCGAAAGCGAAGGCGAUCUCCUGGAACAUAACUGACGCUAAGGCGUGAAAGCGUGGGGAGCAAACAGGAUUAGAAACCCUAGUAGUCC